This 461-nucleotide ribosomal RNA is filed under the name uncultured bacterium. RNAcentral's name for it is "bacterial SSU rRNA". It matches the Rfam family "Bacterial small subunit ribosomal RNA", at positions 29 to 524 of the family's 1533-position model. The record is from RNAcentral.
AACGAACGCUGGCGGCAUGCCUAACACAUGCAAGUCGAACGGGAUCCGGACUUCGGUCCGGUGAGAGUGGCGGACGGGUGAGUAACACGUGGGAACCUGCCUUUUGGUUCGGGAUAACCGCGGGAAACUGCGGCUAAUACCGGAUGCUCCCGAGAGGGAAAAGAUUUAUCGCCAGAAGAGGGGCCCGCGUCCGAUUAGGUAGUUGGUGGGGUAAUGGCCUACCAAGCCGACGAUCGGUAGCUGGUCUGAGAGGAUGAUCAGCCACACUGAGACUGAGAUACGGCCCAGACUCCUACGGGAGGCAGCAGUGGGGAAUAUUGGACAAUGGGGGGCAACCCUGAUCCAGCAAUGCCGCGUGAGUGAUGAAGGCCUUAGGGUUGUAAAGCUCUUUUGCCAGGGAAGAUGAUGACUGUACCUGGAGAAUAAGCCCCGGCUAACUUCGUGCCAGCAGCCGCGGUAAU